GACGAACGCUGGCGGCGUGCCUAAUACAUGCAAGUCGAACGAGAGCACCCGGUGCUUGCACUGGUCAAUCUAGUGGCGAACGGGUGAGUAACACGUGGGUAACCUGCCCAUCAGAGGGGGAUAACAUCCGGAAACGGAUGCUAAAAUCGCAUAGGUCUUCGAACCGCAUGGUUUGAAGAGGAAAAGAGGCGCAAGCUUCUGCUGAUGGAUGGACCCGCGGUGCAUUAGCUAGUUGGUGAGGUAACGGCUCACCAAGGCCGUGAUGCAUAGCCGACCUGAGAGGGUGAUCGGCCACAUUGGGACUGAGACACGGCCCAAACUCCUACGGGAGGCAGCAGUAGGGAAUCUUCCGCAAUGGACGCAAGUCUGACGGAGCAACGCCGCGUGAGUGAAGAAGGUUUUCGGAUCGUAAAACUCUGUUGUUAGAGAAGAACAAGUGCUAGAGUAACUGUUAGCGCCUUGACGGUAUCUAACCAGAAAGCCACGGCUAACUACGUG
RNAcentral lists this ribosomal RNA (498 nucleotides) under uncultured bacterium. RNAcentral's name for it is "partial 16S ribosomal RNA". It matches the Rfam family "Bacterial small subunit ribosomal RNA", at positions 28 to 507 of the family's 1533-position model. The record is from RNAcentral.